Molecule: RNase P RNA, 420 nt
Filed under: Nocardioidaceae bacterium
Lineage: Bacteria; Bacillati; Actinomycetota; Actinomycetes; Propionibacteriales; Nocardioidaceae
Description: RNase P RNA component class A
Rfam family: Bacterial RNase P class A
About the family: Ribonuclease P (RNase P) is a ubiquitous endoribonuclease, found in archaea, bacteria and eukarya as well as chloroplasts and mitochondria. Its best characterised activity is the generation of mature 5'-ends of tRNAs by cleaving the 5'-leader elements of precursor-tRNAs. Cellular RNase Ps are ribonucleoproteins.
Source: RNAcentral
UGAGUCGGCCGGGCGGCCGCGUCGGACGGUUCACCGUUCGCCGAGGAAGGUCCGGACUCCAUCGAGCAGGGUGGUGGGUAACGCCCACCCGAGGUGACUCGCGGGACAGUGCCACAGAGACAGACCGCCAGCGGCCCGUCUGGAGCGCGUAUGUACGCGCACCCAGCGGGUGCGGGUAAGGGUGAAACGGUGGUGUAAGAGACCACCAGCGCCGCAGGUGACUGCGGCGGCUGGGUAAACCCCACCCGGAGCAAGGCCAAGAGGGCGCGGUCCGCCGCGCCUGCGCGGGCGUACGAGGGCUGCUCGCCCGAGUUCGUGGGUAGGCCGCACGAGGGCAUCGGUGACGAUGCUCCGGAGAUGGAUGGUCGCCGGGGCGCGCAGGCGCUCGCACAGAAUCCGGCCUACAGGCCGGCUCAUCCA